CUAGAAUAAUGUUAAUAGACAUCAUGUCAUUUACAUCAGUUAAGAUUUCACCCGAUGUAAAUUAUUUUUCUAACAUCAGUUCUUGAAAAACCGAUUUCUAUUGAUACAAUUAACAUCGUUUUUUAUUUUCAACCGAUGUCUACAUUUUUUUUUCAAAAUUUUGAAAAAACGCGGAAAUAACUAAGUACAAAAUUUUGGAAGCGCGGAACCAAAAUUUCAUUCCCCCCAAGGCUUAGUCAGUUUUCCCACGACUAUGUUUUCCUACCCUUCGUCAAUUUUCAUUCUCAAAACCUAACUACCGCGACAGCCGUCCAGCAACCAACAUCCUCUUCCUCCUUCUCCGCCUCCUACCGUCCCCCUCCUUCUUCUCCUCCUUGUCCGCCUCUGACCGUUCUCCAGUUUGAAGCCGAAGCCGGAGCUCCCAAUCAGCAAGGACGAGAUCCGAAGACACAGACCAUCCUUAUCACCCCCAAAACACAUAUUGCAGUCGCCGUCUCUUCUUUCUCUCUCCAUGGGCCUCUCCAUCUCAGCCCCUCUCUUCGACCAUCGAGGCGUCGACGGCCCUCGCUCUCCUCGUCAAUAACUCGCUUUUGAGCCCUACAAGGUCAGCAAAGUUGAUCUUCUUGCCCAAAGUUGCUCUUUAUGGCUCUUAAUUUGGGGGUGCUCGGCACUUGGUGUCUGGAAGCUUAACACAUUGGGGUUCCUUCCUACACAUGCAUCCGAUUGGGUUUCAUCCUUACCCCCUGCUCAGGUUAAGAGCAAGCUUAAAGGUCACUCUAAAAGGAUAACUGGCCUAGCAUUCUCUCAUGUAUUAAAUGUGCUAGUUUCAUCAGGAGCAGAUGCUCAGAGAUGGCAGAGGAAUAAAAUGGUUAGAGCAAUCUGCUGCUGAGAAGGUAAGGUUAAUGAGAGAAAAUCUGAACGUGGUUAAGCCAGGUCAAAGAGGUUGAAAACAAAUGAGGUCUAUAAAUUUCAACUCUCUAGUUUUACGGCUCUCGUUCUACAUCAAUUUAUGCUCUCUGUUUUACAAAUCUUGUUACAAAGCUAAAGAGUAGAUCUUUUAGAUAUGACUUGCAUAUAAUUUACAAUUUUGUGGGUUUUGUGUGAUUGCUGCAAUAUGAAGGUAUGAUUUAAAUGUAUAUAUGCAAUGGAAUUCAUUCGAGUUUCUUGAUGAGAUGGAGAUUGAAAAAUGCACAAUCUGAAUAUACAUGAAUUGUUAAACUUUUGCUUGAUUUUCAUUGAUCGAUUGAUUGUUUUUCUCCUGGGCUCAGUUCGUUGAGACAAUGAUUCUUGUUAAAUAAUAAGGGAAAGGGAUAGAAAGGCUAGCGCAAGCAUUGAAAGUCUCAAAUUUCUUUAGUUGCAUGUGACCAGCAGAUCAUUAUCAUAUUUCAUCUGUUCCUCAAUUUUGCAUAUGUCAGUAUACAUUAUUUUUCCUUAUUUGUGUUUGAAGACUACACUGUGAUUCAUCUGCAUGUCUACUCAUCACCUUAUUAAUUGCUGAUCUCUUCUUAUUUUUGCCUCUAGAUUUUUUUCUUCUUUUGGUCGAAGCUGUAGAUUUUUGAAAAUUGUUGAUGAGUACUUGGUGGUUCUUCUUCUUCCAAGGCUUUUCUGAACCCAAGUGUUGAGAAAAACAAGAAGGGGCAAGAGACCUAGAAAGGGAGGCAACCGAUUCUGGAAGAGUAUUGGGCUGCGCACCAAGCCACACAGGGAUGCCUCUUGGGAAAAUCUAAUUAGCAGUCUUGAUGGGAAAAUCUGCCGUUCACUUUUUCAACUACAAACUGAAAGAAGCUUCUUGGGAAAGAGGAAGAAAUUGAGAAAGCCUCCGAAGGGGUAUGAAUUCGUUGGGUUAUUGCCAUGGAGAGAAUUUGUAAAAUAGAGGAGUACAGAACAAUGGCUGGUAUGAUGAGUUUAUAUAUGUAUAAGGCUCUCAUUUGUACAUUAUAUAUUGGAGUUACUUUUCUGAUUUGAA
Molecule: long non-coding RNA, 1966 nt
Organism: Rosa rugosa (rugosa rose)
Lineage: Eukaryota; Viridiplantae; Streptophyta; Magnoliopsida; Rosales; Rosaceae
Exons: 6
Source: RefSeq, a predicted model, not a curated record